Molecule: long non-coding RNA, 557 nt
Filed under: Vigna radiata
Lineage: Eukaryota; Viridiplantae; Streptophyta; Magnoliopsida; Fabales; Fabaceae
Description: long non-coding RNA (VRAD_LNC012396)
Source: RNAcentral
GAACACAAUCCAAACUAUUAUUGUAGUAUGUUUAAGGAGAUCUUUUAUGCUAACGAUCGAUCGGUUGUGACCUGCACGUUAACACUCCGACGCUCAAGUCAGUAAAGUCACAAUAAAAUCAGUAUAAAUGUAAUUAGAUCAAAAGUCAUAUAUCUGGCUAACAUUCAUAUAUUUAUAGGCAUUCAACUCAGCUGAUGGGCAUUAACUACUUGUAACCGCUGAUCCAUAAUCACACAAGAUUCGCCCACUAAUUAUAAUCGUUGCUUACGUGCCCGCGAUAUUCGCCCCACCAGUCCAGUAAUGUCGUUACACUAUACUCACACUUCCUCUUCAUUCAACCGGCCGGCCUACCAGUGCCCCCGAUCGACUCCCAAAUUUUCCCGCUCAACCCUCACUAUACCUUCCAUUAGAGUUGUCAAAACAGGUAACCCCGUCUGACCUGGCCCGGCCCACCACGGGUUGGUCACUUAGUGAGCCAACCCAACCCGGCUCAUUUAUUAGCAAGCUUAAAAAACUUGAACCCUGUCCGACCCACCACGGGUUGGUGGGUAAACGGG